Molecule: ribosomal RNA, 468 nt
Filed under: uncultured bacterium
Lineage: Bacteria
Description: partial 16S ribosomal RNA
Rfam family: Bacterial small subunit ribosomal RNA
Source: RNAcentral
GACGAACGCUGGCGGCGUGCUUAACACAUGCAAGUCGAACGGAAAGGCCCUGCUUGUGUGGGGUGCUCGAGUGGCGAACGGGUGAGUAACACGUGAGUAACCUGCCCUUGACUUUGGGAUAACUUCAGGAAACUGGGGCUAAUAUCGUAUAGGAGCUCCUGCUGCAUGGUGGGGGUUGGAAAGUUUCGGCGGUCGGGGAUGGACUCGCGGCUGAUCAGCUUGUUGGUGGGGUAGUGGCUUACCCAGGCUUUGACGGGUAGCCGGCCUGGGAGGGUGACCGGCCACAUUGGGACUGAGAUACGGCCCAGAGUCCUACGGGAGACAGCAGUGGGGAAUAUUGCACAAUGGGCGGAAGCCUGAUGCAGCAACGCCGCGUGCGGGAUGACGGCCUUCGGGUUGUAAACCGCUUUCGCCUGUGACGAAGCGUGAGUGACGGUAAUGGGUAAAGAAGCACCGGCUAACUACGUG